CGCGGCCUAUCAGCUUGUUGGUGGGGUAAUGGGCUACCAAGGCGGCGACGGGUAGCCGGCCUGAGAGGGUGUACGGCCACAUUGGGACUGAGAUACGGCCCAGACUCCUACGGGAGGCAGCAGUGGGGAAUAUUGCACAAUGGGCGCAAGCCUGAUGCAGCGACGCCGCGUGGGGGAUGAAGGCCUUCGGGUUGUAAACUCCUUUCGCUAGGGACGAAGCUUUUUGUGACGGUACCUAGAUAAGAAGCACCGGCUAACUACGUGCCAGCAGCCGCGGUAAUACGUAGGGUGCGAGCGUUGUCCGGAAUUACUGGGCGUAAAGGGCUCGUAGGUGGUUUGUCGCGUCGUCUGUGAAAUUCUGGGGCUUAACUCCGGGCGUGCAGGCGAUACGGGCAUAACUUGAGUGCUGUAGGGGUAACUGGAAUUCCUGGUGUAGCGGUGAAAUGCGCAGAUAUCAGGAGGAACACCGAUGGCGAAGGCAGGUUACUGGGCAGUUACUGACGCUGAGGAGCGAAAGCAUGGGUAGCGAACAGGAUUAGAUACCCUGGUAGUCCAUGCCGUAAACGGUGGGCGCUAGGUGUGAGGGUCUUUCUACGACUUUCGUGCCGUAGCUAACGCAUUAAGCGCCCCGCCUGGGGAGUACGG
RNAcentral lists this ribosomal RNA (645 nucleotides) under uncultured Actinomycetes bacterium. Its description in RNAcentral is "bacterial SSU rRNA". It matches the Rfam family "Bacterial small subunit ribosomal RNA", at positions 232 to 885 of the family's 1533-position model. Lineage: Bacteria; Bacillati; Actinomycetota; Actinomycetes. The record is from RNAcentral.